This is a long non-coding RNA of Cygnus olor (mute swan), 1052 nucleotides long. RefSeq lists it as uncharacterized. The transcript is spliced from 4 exons. The record is from RefSeq and is a predicted model, not a curated record. NCBI's taxonomy places the organism in Eukaryota, Metazoa, Chordata, Aves, Anseriformes, Anatidae.
CUCUCAGGUGGCAUUCCAGACAUGCAAGAUCUAGAUUUCCAAAAUGAAGACCAGAGAUCAAGUUUUGUAUUGUAACUCUCUAGUGAUAAGCACCUCAGGAAUGAGUUUACCCAUCAGAACUGCUUCUCUUGCAGAAGUACCAGAAAUACAAUGGCCUGAUGGAGCAAAUUUCUUAGCAAGCAUAAAAAGAGGAAAAGAAAUUCCACCGUUCUCCUAAAAGUCUGCCUGAGUCUUUGAGAGCAUCAAGGAGCUGGAGCCUGAUACCUAUUAGAAUUUAUUCCUAAUAGAAUUCUAAGUGGGAAUGGGCAAAGCAGAAGCAAAACUUCUCUACCAUAUUUUCGCUGAUUGUCAAGAAGGGGAGGAGAGAAAUGAAUGACGAUUUGAUGAUGGCAGAGGCUUCCCAGCUGAAGUACAGAAAUGACAACCUCCAAGCAUGGAACCAAGGAAAAGGACUGGGAAGACUGUUAAAAGGAUUGCUGUGAUGAAAGACGUAUCUGAAUGUCCUGAGGAAAUAAAUUAAAAAGAAGGUGCCUAUUUUCUGCUGCUUUCAGGACACCAAAUCAAGAAUACAACUGCUGCCUCACGUUUGCUCAUACCAUUCAUUAAUCCUACGUUUUUCAAGUGGCUGGGAAAUCCCCAUCUAUCACAGAGACCAACAAUUGUGUUACUGGACCAAGAUGAAUCUUGAUCAACAAUAUUGAACCUAUCCUUAGAAAAUAAGAAAUUUCGCAAUUCAGACAGUACAGUCAGUUAAUUAAUGUACUAAUAUUACCUCUAACAGCUUUCUAGACAUACGCACAAGAUGAGUACCUCCUAGAAAGUGUCAUUUUAACAUGAGAAACUUUAUUUUACAACGCUUGCAUAACCAGUAUUACAUAAAUAUAUAUGAAGUAUACACAAGUGUAUGUGCGUGAUGUGUUUGAUAAAUAUACAUCCUGUCUAUUAUGUUACAUCUAUUCAUUUUGCUGGGAAAUGGCCAUCAGAUGAAAACAUUUCUUCUGGCUGAGAAUAAAUUUGACAGAACAAUUGAAAACAGAGUUUCACUGAGUUCU